Molecule: ribosomal RNA, 1167 nt
Filed under: metagenome
Description: SSU rRNA
Rfam family: Eukaryotic small subunit ribosomal RNA
Source: RNAcentral
AUUAAAGUUGCUGCAGUUAAAAAGCUCGUAGUUGGAUUUUGAAUUAUAAAAAUUUAACAUUCAUCUUUUAGAUGUGAUUUAAUUUUUAUAUUCUUCCUUUUGAUACGCUCCAUCAAAUUAUAUUUUUUGGAUUUAAGUGUUUCAAAUUGUUUACUGUGAAAAAAUUAGAGUGUUCAAAGCAGGCGUAACCUAGCCUUUGAAUAUAUUAGCAUGGGAUAAUGAAAUAGGACUUUAAUCCUACUUUCGUUGGUUUCUAGGGCUAAAGUAAUGAUUAAUAGGGAUAGUUGGGGUCACUAGUAUUUAAUUGUCAGAGGUGAAAUUCUAAGAUUUAUUAAAGACUAACUACUGCGAAAGCAUUUGACAAGGAUGUUUUCAUUAAUCAAGAACGAAAGUUGGGGGAUCGAAGAUGAUCAGAUACCGUCGUAGUCUCAACCAUAAACUAUGCCGACCAAGGAUCCGAGGUUGUUAAUAUGGAUGACUCUUCGGGCACUUAUAGAGAAAUCAUAAGUAUUUGGGCUCCGGGGGGAGUAUGGUCGCAAGGCUGAAACUUAAAGGAAUUGACGGAAGGGCACCACAAGGAGUGGAACCUGCGGUUUAAUUUGACCCAACACGGGAAAACUUACCAGGUCCAGACACAGUGAGGAUUGACAGAUUGAGAGUUCUUUCUUGAUUCUGUGAGUGGUGGUGCAUGGCCGUUUCUAGUUGGUGGAGUGAUUUGUCUGGUUAAUUCCGUUAACGAACGAGACCUUAACCUAUUAAAUAGUUAUUUAAACUUGAUUUUUAAAAUCAAAUGUUUAAAAAACUUCUUAGAGGGACUCUUCACUGAGAGAGUGAAUGGAAGUUUGAGGCAAAAACAGGUCUGUGAUGCCCUUAGAUGUUCUGGGCCACACGCGCGUUACACUGACAUAUUCAACGAGCAUUAUCCUUACCCGUCGGGGUUGGGUAAUCUUUUAAAUGUAUGUCGUGCUGGGGAUAGAUCAUUGUAAUUAUUGGUCUUGAACGAGGAAUUCCUAGUAAGUGCGAGUCAUCAACUCGCGCUGAUUACGUCCCUGCCCUUUGUACACACCGCCCGUCGCUCCUACCGAUUGAAUGGUCCGGCGAGAACUCAGGAUGGAUAUGGAUUUUGGACACCGUUAGGUGCUCCAACCAUAUCCAGAAUUUGUUCAA